GAGCUCGUCUUCUAUGCUGCCUACUCCUUUGCCUGCUCCAUAGCGCCCCCUCAUUGUGUUUUCUAAAGCUAAUUUAUUUUAAAACAAUUCAUUACAAAACCGAACCUUUUGUUACAACUAACUAACCUAAGCAUGUCAAUAAAGACUUCUGUUUUCUUAUAAAAUAUUUCAGAAUUUACAUACAAAAAACAUUCACAUUUGCCCAAGUUAAUAUGAGUAAAAAAUAUAUAAUGUCCUCUUAUUGUGGGUGGAGUAAGAAAGGGAAGACGUUGAAAUUAUUUUACCUUUUAGGAGUUGGGCAUUAAAUAUUUUUUCUUAAAGGAUAAUAUUAUUUCCUUUGUGUCUGAAAGAUUCUUUGAUUUAGAGAUCCUGGGUGUUCUUUUAGGAAUACCGGGGCAUUUAUCUCUGAAACUGCGUGAAGUGUGUGGAUCUUUAUGACCCGAGAACUUCAAGAACCAAACUCUCGAGAAGGUCCUCUCCGUGUCCAGCAGGGGGCAGUGCCGAACCUCCACAGCGCUGCUCUCCGCCUCAGAGCGCAACAGACGAAGAAGAAGACACCCCCCCCCCCAAAAGACGAAGGAGAAGAAGACUAGUCGUUGCACCGAGAUCCAAGGUACAGACGGUCUUUAGCGUUUGUUCCGUUACAGGCAGUGGUCAUGAGUGUCUGUCGGGAGUGGGAGAUCUUCAUCCCGGAGGAGGCGGUGGUGCAGAACAUGCCUCUGCGGAGUUUACCCCUCUCUGUGCUGAAGAGGAUGAGACUGCCCCUCCCAGACUGGGACCCCUCCAGGAGACCCAUGGAUUUGCCCACCGUCACGUGGAUCUGCCCGGCGUUCGUCUGCAAAAAAGGCCUGACGUCAGCCCCCCCCAUCAGGAGUGUUUGGGCAGAGGGUGUGCGUACGUUGAAGCAGUGUGGAUCAAGGUCAGCCCCCCUAAAGAUGUCCUUCAAGUCCUCCAACCGGGUCGCUUUUGAGGUGCUGAAGCUGAAGGACGUUUCAGACAAAUGCCACACCCGCCCCCUCCCUCAGGGCACCACCCCCACCACCAACCAGACCGCCCUGGUCAUCUACCGCGGGCAGAUCUACCUGUGCAUCAGAAAGUCUGAGCUGGGCCAGAAGCAGCAGAGGAGCAGCUCAACCUCUCCAUCGCUGUCAGCCGACAGCCCAGAGACGGAGAAUGUGACGGAGUCCAGGUGCCAAACCAAAGCCUCCCCGGGAGGGGUCUGGUCCCCCCAGAAGGAGAGUCGCAGCGCUCUCAGGAGGGAGAGGGGUUCCCCGGACGCCUUCAGUGUGAAGCGGAUCCGGAUGGAGCAGGCGGGUCUGGAGGGUGGUGCUGCUCAGGAGACUCUGGCAGGUGAAGCUAGCGGCUCCUCCUCAGGGUAUGAUGUCUUUAGCAAGCAGACGGAUGAGGACGCCGUCUAUAAAGAGCUGGAGGAGGAGGAGGAGAUUGCUCAGCUGAAGGCCCGCUUGCAGAGAGAGGACGACGCUCUCAACGACCUGCUGUCUGGACCCUGAACCGGGAUCAGAACCUGCUUAUUCCCUCCAGAGGUUUGGCCUCUUCUGGUUCAGUGGAGGAAUCUUUUCUGCUGCAGCUGCUGUGACGGGAGUGAUGACCUCUGAACUCUACACAUCUGCAAAUGAGGGAUGUUCUCCUCUUUACGCUCUCAGGGGGGGAGCAAGAACCUCCUUUUUGUGCUGUGGGUGUGUUUGUAGCAAAUCAAAUGAGGUUUAUUUAACAUGACCGCAGUCAAGCAAACAGGCAGACAUUAAAACAUUGAAAACUACUAAAAGGUUACAACAAUUAAAAAGGAAAAUAAUCAAAUAAGUGACGGUAAAAAACAAGUACGGGUGGAACAAAAGGAAAGACGGCAGCAGAGCAGAGUGAUGUGCUGACAAAAGUCUGCUUAAAAAGUGACUUUUAGAUGUGUAUGUUCAUGUGUGUUACGUGUCAAUAAAUGCAUGUUAGCCUGACUGCAGCUGAGGACCAUAAAGGUCCGUGUCCGUUCAGAUGUUUAAAAGGCUAUUUUAAAUUAUCUUCUUUUAAAUAUCAAUAAAAACAUUUCCUUGGAAGAUUCAAAGAUAAACUUUGUGAAAAUCUGUACAUUUAUGUCCAGCUCCUGUUCCUUCAAAAAAACUUAGAUUAAAUGUUUUAAAGUGUUUUAAAGUCUUAUGUAUUCAAACAUUCAAAUACUUAAAGAUCAGAUUUCUAUAAAGUCUGCUUUACUGAUGCUGAUUUUCAAACCUUCUUUUUAAAAUGUUAUUUUUGUUGUGUGGCCACAAUAAUGGGAAUCAAAAGUGCUCAAAGGUUCUGGAAAACCUUAAAAACUGACCCUAAAAGUGCUUGAGGUGACCUGGAUCAUUAUUUUCUCUUCUGGAUCUCUGGAUUUUGGCCGCCAGGGGGCAGCAGACCUGAACUUCAGUGUCAGAGGUCAGUUUGAUACAUGGAGGAAAACUGACAAGACUGAAGAUACUGUAAAAAAAAAAACAUCUUUGACAUUUCCAUAUAACAAAACUACAAUCUGCCUUCUAGAUUGGUGGUUGGGAAUGAUUACAUAAGACAUUUGUGUCGAGUAGAUGUCUUUGUUAUAACAAUGCUUCUUGGCAAUAAAAGUUACUUUUGGAAAGCCCGUUUGUUUUCCUUUU
Long non-coding RNA from Oryzias sinensis (Chinese medaka), 2639 nucleotides. NCBI's taxonomy places the organism in Eukaryota, Metazoa, Chordata, Actinopteri, Beloniformes, Adrianichthyidae. The record is from Ensembl.